Molecule: long non-coding RNA, 199 nt
Filed under: Elaeis guineensis (African oil palm)
Lineage: Eukaryota; Viridiplantae; Streptophyta; Magnoliopsida; Arecales; Arecaceae
Description: long non-coding RNA (EGUI_LNC051832)
Source: RNAcentral
CGAUUUCGUCGCAUCACUGUCAAGCCACUGUAAUUAGGAUAGUUUCGGAAAUAAAUUAGAUGUAAAUAAAUUGAAGAAUAAGUUUUAAAAAAAAUAUUAAAAAAAAACUUGAAGGACCGUUUAUGCUCACUGCGCUCCAAUAGGCCUUUGACAACGAUAUCCCCUCAGAUAAAGUAUAUCAAAAACUCUUAUCUGUUGG